Molecule: long non-coding RNA, 7897 nt
Organism: Ostrea edulis (European flat oyster)
Lineage: Eukaryota; Metazoa; Mollusca; Bivalvia; Ostreida; Ostreidae
Exons: 10
Source: RefSeq, a predicted model, not a curated record
CAAUAAACUAACAAAGUUACAGACUGGAAUAUUUGAUCAACUGGGGAAUUUACAGACACUAGACCUGAGCGACAAUAAACUAACAACAUUACAGACUGGCACAUUUGUUCAACUGGUGAAUUUACGGCUACUUGAUGUAAGUGGAAACCCCCUCCAUUGUGAUUGCAAUGUAGUCGCCUUUAUCCGCUUUAUGAAAACAAAGCAACUGCAGUUACACCCCAACUCGUGGAGGAUGGAACCUUCCUGUCAAAACCCUCUUAAUUUAAAAGAAACGUUGCUGAAGGACAUUUCACUUCAAGAAGUAGUUUGUGAUUCAGGGAAUGCGACAGCUCAAACCUACACAGUAGAUGUGACGCCUCUAAACUCAAUACCCAAAGCAGGAAAUAAUUAUACAUAUCUUUGUAACAUUUCGGGCAAUGGAACACUAGACAUCAUCACAAAUUUAAAGGUGAAGUGGUACCACAAUUCAAAGCUGCUGACCAGUCAGUGUACCUUGGAGGAUGUAUCAAUGGCGGAGAAGUAUUCGUGUGAGGUACUCCCCCAUCAACAGAACAGCAUCAGCUUAGAGAUGACAGUAAUAGAUGUGCAAAAAGAUGAUGUUGGGAGUUUAACCUGUGAAUUGACUCAGCAGGUGAAGGAGAACGGAAUAUGGAAAGAUGAAUUGUUAGAGAAUGAGUCAGUGGUAAUCGAUAUAAGAGGUAUAUGUAGAGGAAGAAGAUUAUGUUUAAAAGUAUCUGUAUAUAUAAAUAUUAUCCUGAUUUUAAUUAAUAUAACAUGAAUAUAACGAACAGUGAUCAAUCUCAACACCCCAAUUAAGGAAUGCAAGGUAACGAGUUGAAGAAACGCAAACCAGGACAUACGGUAUUACCAGAGGUAGGAUCAGGUGUCUUGGAGGCGUUAUAAAUCCUUGUCGACCGGCUACACCCUCCGUUGGCCCUAUAUCUUAAUCAAGUAAACAUACUAUUCCGUAGGCAAAAUCAAUGUGCCAAAAAUGUCAUAAAACUAUAUAAAGCACGUUACACAGCAUUUGAUCCAAUGAUAGAUUGAUGAAAUAUCAAUGGAUGUUAAAACUUUAAAAUUAAUAAGAGGGGAUGCUUGCUCUCCCUACGCACCUCACUCAACCUAUGGUGUGCCCAGGUGUUCGUAUUUGCCCUGCUCUUAAUUAUAAACCAUUUAUUGUAUUUAUGAGAUUGGCUAUUGUUCGUUGUCUUCAAUUUUCAUCAAUACAAACGAAGCAAGUCAACAGUUGAUCUGGCAAGUAUCCAUCAUGUAUCUAGAGUUUUUGUCAUUGUGUAAGACAUUAGGGCUGGUUUAUCAAAUAACAAUUUGCCGUAUGUCACAGACAAUUGGUGCAUACAUUCAUCAGCAACAAAUGCGAUACUAUCUCUUUACACGGUGUUAUUGAAAGCAUUGAAUUGAAAUACCUUUUUGCAAGAAGAACUCCAAUCGACCAGGUAAACCCAUGCAUAGAGAUUUGAUUUGUGUCAAAUUUCUAAAUUCCCCAUGCCAUCUGAAGUAAGUAUGUUACUUUAUUUAUUUUGUCUUUGGUAAAUAUGAAUUGACCGAAACAUGCAUGUAUGCGAACCUUUUUAGUGUUAAAGAUUGUUUCACAGAUACCAUAAUUUGGGAUUUAUGUUGACACGAUUUUGAAUUUGACUUUGCACGUGGUGUAACUUAUUUGGAAUUACAGACCAGAGGAUACACCUUUGACGAUAUAUAAUCAGACGGAUAUUGUUCGGUGUGUCGUUCAUUAAGGUGUUAUCACUAGAGUGAUCAAAUGACGUGAAAACAAUCAUAUUUUAUGUCCACGAAGUAGUUAAUCAUUCUCAGCUGGUAAUUCGAGUCAACUGAUCUUUGCUUAACGCUGAUGAAUUGCAAAGUUAUGUUUUGAGAAGGGAAACAAACCAUUUACAUUUGGGCAUACCAUUUACAUCACUGAUUGCUUAAUAGGCAAUAUGUCCCAAUCCCAUAAGAAAAAUACGAUAUCCUUGUAGAUUUCAAAUAUAUAUCCAUACUGUAACAUACUUCAGUGAAUAGCAAAGUCCAUGCCUGUAAUUUUAAUUCGCGUUUUUAAAGAUAUCAAAAUAACGCAUUGUAUAAACAUAAAAAGUGAUAAAUGAAAACCACUCAGGUGUCAUGCUCAAAGAAAUCCACGGAAGAUUCAUCAAUGGACUGUUACCUAUGCAACGUAAGAGACAUGUAUUCCUGUCUUCAACACUAGUGGGCAUUUAUAUCGAUAUAUUCAACAUUAGUAAGUAUUUAUUUUCCAAUUGUCAACACUUGUGAGUAUAGAUUUUUGUUUUCCCAUAGAAUAAACUAAUAUAGGACAAAACAAUCAGAAGGUGCGUCGCUAUGUACAAGUUAUAUAUAUUUACCCGGAAUGUACAAAUUAUACGUUUAUUUGAUAUCUACAAGAUUUAUGAUUUAUUAGUGUCUACAAGGUAUAAAUGUGCUCCGUAAGUAUGAUGCAUACAUCUGCUUAGUAUUUACAUGUUCUAUAUUUACUUGGUAUGUACACGUUACACGUUUAUUCGGUAUACGCGUAUUUUGUGCGUCCGGAGAGAACGGGAUGAUAAUACUUAUAAUAACGACAAACAUCACAAGCAUGGAAGAUUGUAAGUAUUCAAUGUUUCAAUCAAUCUUUCUAUCAUCUUAUUUGGAUAUUUCAGGAGAUCAGAAAAGUGGACGUGUUUCUCUGUUGCUUCGACAAGGACAUGGUCUGCAUGUAGUCAGGAUGUUUGGAGAGCACGGUCAGAUGCUGACAGCUGCUUUGUGUUACCAGGAAUUCAGCCAUUUCCUUUGAGGUCGGCAUUUCGCAAGUUAUAUGGCCGAUAUUGUGAUCUGGAUUGCAGAUUAUCCCGCUUACAUGAUGGAAACAGAGGGUUUACGGCGGGUGUGGCCGAUCAACAACGAAUGUUGCCUCCUCCUAGACAGCUGAAUCCCCGCCAGUGUUUAUGAUGGUUGCUGUUUGUCCUAUUCUCAAUGCGGUGUUCUUAAUAUGAUUUUGAGAUGUAUCACGCCUUAUUAUCUUCAGUAUUCCUAGAGGAACGGAUAAAUAUGGGAAUUAUAUCACCAGUAAGAGAAGGAACAAUAUGGCCACUUGAUGCUUCCCAUUCUGUUUAAUGGACAACCCACUACUGACACCCCACUUCAAUUGGCCAUACUGUGAAUUACCAUCCGCUUCGACCGGAGAAAGAGUCAACCUUCGAUGAACUGGGGAUUCACUCUACGGAAAUACAUUACUCCCAUCUGUUAAACUCUUGCAAUUGCAGGGAACAUCCACAUAGGGUUUUCCAGCCUUCGUGACUACGGAAGGAAUCAGAAGUAUCGAAAUCACGUAGGAAUUUCAAUCAAACCUUGAAUGAUGUGGUUUUCGCACGACCUACUUUCUGUAUGGUGAAUUGAAAAUACUCCACGUGUAAAAUGGUACACGAUGACAAAGAUACCCAAGGGUAUUUAUUCAGGAAUUCAUAUGUUAACUAAUUGUGGACAAAUUGGUAAUUUUUGAUAUAAAUUACCAGACUACUAACAAUUUUCAUAUGAAUGGAGACCAUUAGUAAACAUGCAUCGAGGAAACUCUGAUCAGGAGAUAUAUCAGUCAUAACCAGAUCCACAAUGGUUGAAAUCCGCAGAAAUCAACUCUAAGUUGUUGAAGGACUUAUUGAACCACGUUAUCUAGCAGUCCAUGUCUGAAAGUUACGCCGUUCCGGAAUGCACAUCGAGGACGAUAUGCCGAGGUUGUAUUCGGAGUGUCAGUAUGUGACGAUACACGGUACACUGUCCGUCAUUGAGAAGAUAAAGAUAGCACACGUGUUUUAAUAUGAAUUAAUGACAGGAUAACAUAAGGAACAACAUCAAGCUCAUAUCUCCAAUAUGGUAUACAGAAUACAGAGUUGGACAGACACGGAAACCUGGGUAUAUUAGAGGUUGGAUCAGGUGCCUAGGAAAUGUAAAUAUUACGUGUCGACCGCUUACACCCGCUGUGAGUCUUGUAUGUUUUGAUCAGGCAAAUGUAGUAAUCCGUAGUCAGAAUCAAUGUGUUAAGAAGAGCCUAACAAUAAUAGAUUUACAUUAGGUAAUAAAAAUUGUGAAACAAUAUGCUUUCUUAUCAGUCAUCGUGCUUACAUUAAAGGGUUACAAACUAUUGUCCUGACCUUUCUGUUCAUCAGUUGUCUUAGCUUUGUUCACGAUCUUGCAAGUGCUGGCAUCGACUGUUAACGUCCUUGGAUAGUUGAUUUGAAAUAGUAGGACAUGUUCUUCGUGUUGUGGGAUCGAUAAAGUUCCAUGGCAACUGCUGGUUUGUCAAAGUUGCCAAUAAAGGAUGCGUUGAAUUUAUUUCUUGAAACUUCUUGAGACUUGUGUAGAGAUUCUCAGUUUACCCCCCCCCCCCCCAACAAAAAACCCUUGAAAAUGUAGCUAUCCCCCAAAUCAUGACGUUGGAUUAUAUUUAAAUCAAAUGAUUGAAUAAAUCUAAAUGAACGUAUUUCUACGAUUCCAUAUAAAAACAUCGAUCACUAGAAUUUGAGGGAACCCUACGUUUGUUUGUAUAUCUUUAUAUAUAUCCGGAUACCCAACGCGGAUUGCAUUCCUUUUAUAUUUGUUUGUACAUAAUAUCUUUAAACAAUUUUUUAAGUCAUCAUUAGUUGGCAUACAAACAAUCGGAAUGCAACACUCGUCGCGAAAAGAUGGAUAAGUUCCGCGUACUACAGUGUAAGUACAUACAUCCGGAGAUUUUGAUGAUUAUACUAUCGGCCAAUUUAGCCUUUUGUGAUCUAUUAACACGAUAAAUUCAAUGUCUGAGAGUGUAUUUCCGUCUGUUACAAUUGUAAAAUAACAGCCAAUUCAACAUUUGAUAUGUUACUUUCCAUUUGAUAAGAUUCUCAGAUAAAGAUUUAAAUGUAGUUUACAUGUUCAAUGGGUUGACUUUUCGAUGUUAUUUGCUAAAUAGAAUGAGCAAAAAUGAGCAAAACUUACUUUAAUUCCUAAAAAAGAAGUAAUGUCGAGAUAAUUAAUUCUACACUGUAGAAACAUAUACCGUACCAAGAACCUGGGUUCGUGUGUAUAUCAAUCAAUAUAAAUACAUGCAUCUAUCUGAAUCACCUGGGUACUACAAUUGUGUAUUUCAUAUUUGUAAUAUUUCUUGUUUGAUAACGUGUUACCAAAAUGCAUAGAGGCUAAGCCCGUUCUGGGCCCGAACUGUGUGAUACCAUUACUAUAGAAAGGGGUCUAACUCUUACCCAGAUAAAGAAAACUACCCUUUCGCUCCACUAAACAAUCAUAAACUAAGUGUGAUAUGCGUAAUUUAACGGUCACCCUGCAUAUAAUAAUGUUAUAACUGACUAUAUGUCCCAGCAACAGGUUCUUGAAAUAACAGAGAUAUUCGGCAUAGCUCUCUAGAUUCCACCGGUCCAGGUCAAUUGGUUGUUUCUAUCAUAUGACAGCAGCGGGAAUCAGAUUAGUGUGUAAGAUUUCGGACCUAUCAAUUACAAUUUCAUAUCAACUAAACGUUACUUACUUCCUCAUACAUUUACUUUGAUAACGUUUCUAUAUUCGUUCUAUUUUGUUUGUUUCUUUUAGAAAAGAUCAACUCCUGACUCUAUCUGCUACCAAAGACCGAAAUACCUAAAACUUGAAAGAAGGUGAAAAUGGGCAAAACGUAUCUAAAUGAAAUAAAAUAGACCAACAUAAAUUAAGAAAGCCAAAAAUAAUGUUCAAUUUCUUUAUCUAAGUCCAAUAUCACACGAAAAAUGUUUUGAUAAAUUGUAAGGCUUUUAAGAUCAAGUAUACAGUGUCUUUAAUUAAAAUGGCAGUUGGUGCUGCUGAGGAAAAAUUGAGUUGUGUAACGUCUACACGAAGAGCAUUAUGAACGUAUGAGGAAGUAAGCAGCGGACAUCUGUUGUGAAAUUUUAAUCGAUACGUCCAAAAUCCAUGUAAAAUGAACAUGUUUAUCAAUGGCACAAGGCCUCUUGUAUUGCAAGUUUUUAAACUUAGAGAAAAUUGGAGUCGAAAUAUGUAUGCAAUUUAAUUAUCAUCGUCAAAAAAGCGAAUGUAUUUCAAUACACUGUCCUUUUUAGAGUGUCAAAUCACACCUCAUUGACAGGAGAGCUAUUGAGUUGUAACAUGAACAAACAUAAAUAUAUUUGAAACUAAAAUGAUUUCCUCCACCAAUAGACGGAAAUCAAACCCUUGUGUUCUUAUUUCAUUAGCAAACCCUAUGGAAAAUGACUCAUGCGUUACAUUAAAUUUGAAAUUUCAGAACUAUAAAUAUCUGUGUCCGGGUUCGUGUCCGGGUUCGUGUCCGGGUUCUAGUUUGCCCUACUCUGGUUUUGUAUUAUUUAUAGGAAUGAAAUCGAUCACUAUUCCUUGAUAUUUACGUUUGAUGAAUCGUUUCCGCUCUUUCCAAAUGAGGAGUUAAGAUAUUGUCUAAAUAUUGGCAAGUUUGAAGUCUAUCAUCUUUGCAUCUUUUUGAUAGGAAGUUCAGGGUAUUUUACGUAGAAUCAGAUUAGUGUGUAACAAAUUAAUGGGUGUUUUUAUGACUGAUCACAAGAUAUGUUUAUUUCCGUGCUCUAUUUCAAUUCAAAAAGCAACUGCCAAGGGUUUGAAAAGUCCUCUAUAACUUCAGCAUUUCGUACAUUGUAUUAUAUUUACUUAGUGAUUUGAUUUGCAAAUAGGAACUAUAACUGGGUUCAAUAAUAUCUUACGUGUUUCGUACCAGCUGUUAGGUAUUUCUUUACACAUUUAUUUCAACUACUGAUUACGCCGUUUACCUAAUCAAGACAGAAGGCCAUAGGACCAAUUUUACCGGUAAACAGGGAAUGUUUACUCAUUCUUGGUACUUGAUCCAACCUCUGUUCUGUCAAGGGGUAUUUGUUUACCCUCUCCUUGAUUUUGUAAUCUUUUAGAAUGUUGAGAUUAAUCACUGUUUAUCUUUUUCACCUUUCAUACACAAGUCAGUUGAAAUGAAGACAUGGCACACACACUGAUCUUUUGGGAAUCCGGGUAAGAAUAAUCCUCAAUACUCCUUGCCUGUCGUAAGAGGUGACUAAAGGAGAUAGUUCUUCGGAUGAUACCGCAAAAUCAGAAGCCCAGUGUCACAACAGAUGUGGCACGAUAUAGAUUCCUUCCUGCUCAAAGGUAAUAAGCACCGAGCAUAGGCCUAAAUUUUGCAGACCUUCAUCGCCAAUGGUGACGUUUCGAUAUCAGUGAACAAUUCUCACAAGGGACGUUAAACAAUUUGCAAUAUGUUUAGAAUUUCAAUAGCGGAAGUGUCAUGGGGUUAUUUUGAAAAGGUUACAUAGAAAUGACCUAUGAGAUUUAAGUUUAUUAUUAUUACCUGUUCGAUUGAGAAUAUCGGGGCUGCAUUUUAAAUUUCUAGCGCAUGCAUGCUCUUCUUGAGCAAGUCUCGUUUUUAUGUUAGUUAUAUUUGAAUUAAAACAGCAAGUUCUUUUGUUGUUCUUGUUCUUGUUGUUGUAAAAAUGAGGGUCCGCCAUUUAUUUUGUUUACCUCGCAUUAUAUUGCCGCGGACACACCGGUUUCCAUAGUUUUUCACAAACGUUGUGAUUUUUAUCUAUGGUUUUUCCUGGGCGGCGAGGGAAGCAUAUUUAUGAUAUCUUGAAAUUAUAAGUAUUACAAGUGUGUGUUUUGUCAAACAGUGUCUAUGAUUGCUUUGUAUUACGUGUUCUUUGUGGUGUAUAUGCACGCAAAAUAAAUAUCAUCUCGCACGAUGCAUUGUAUUAUAAAAUUGAUGUUUCACUAGUUUGUUUACUUAUAAAUGUUUACAUAACACAAAUUAUGUUUUUUCUUCCUGCAUUUAGGUCAAAUGUUUGGCUAUCAACAUUAAAUGAGUUAUAUUUUAAAUGUUUGACAUAAAAUUGAAACUCAUAAACUCUUCCAUUUA